UACAGAGGUGGCAAGCGUUGUUCGGAAUUACUGGGCGUAAAGGGCGCGUAGGCGGCCUUCUAAGUCGAACGUGAAAUCCCCGGGCUUAACCCGGGAACUGCGUCCGAUACUGGGAGGCUUGAAUUCGGGAGAGGGAUGCGGAAUUCCAGGUGUAGCGGUGAAAUGCGUAGAUAUCUGGAGGAACACCGGUGGCGAAGGCGGCAUCCUGGACCGACACUGACGCUGAGGCGCGAAAGCUAGGGGAGCAAACGGG
This 253-nucleotide ribosomal RNA is filed under the name uncultured bacterium. RNAcentral describes it as "partial 16S ribosomal RNA". It matches the Rfam family "Bacterial small subunit ribosomal RNA", at positions 524 to 776 of the family's 1533-position model. The record is from RNAcentral.